This is a long non-coding RNA of Patella vulgata (common limpet), 680 nucleotides long. RefSeq lists it as uncharacterized. The transcript has 4 exons. The record is from RefSeq and is a predicted model, not a curated record. Lineage: Eukaryota; Metazoa; Mollusca; Gastropoda; Patellidae.
CUCGUAGAAUAUUUUUCUGGAUGAUAGAGACUACUGUCGGUGAAAACCAAUGACUCAAUGAAUGGCUCCUACACGUGUUGUGAUGUGGCCAUCUUUGCUAAGUAUCGACAAACGGUGACGAAUAGUUGAUGCUAUAUCGUAUCUAGCGAAAUACCAAAAAGGGGAGGAGCUACCAAUAGCUAGUUGAGCAGACAUUCUAACGUAUUUGUAGGCGGGAAUUAAAAAGCAUAACCACGCCUUUCACAAUCACAAUGUAUCAGCGUAUUGUAAAUAUGUCGGCUUUUCGGGCAGAAAUCAUUGAACAAACUUUAUUUUGGAGGUUUCGACAUCUAGGCCUGAUGAUGCUCCGAUAGUCUAUUGAAAAGUCUAAUGCCAAAGUAGAAAUUGGUACCGGCGUGCAGUCCUGAGAAAAGAAAAGGGGCUUCGGAUUUAACAUUGUCAGCAAUAAGGCCCUAGGAUUCCAAUAAGUUGAAUUUCUUUGUACAAAACUAUUAAAGAGAAGAUUCAAGAAAAACUCUGUAUUUGCAAUACCAGAGAAAGUGUUACAUUUACCAUAUCUCCAGAAUUGCAACUUUGUGUUUGUAAUCUCGACAAUUUGUGUGCAACAUUUCGUUAAAAAAAUCCUCAGUAUUUGUUGUGGUGAACAAAAUAAAUAUUGGCUGUCAAGAGGCAAAUUUUAU